RNAcentral lists this long non-coding RNA (1409 nucleotides) under Triticum aestivum (bread wheat). Its description in RNAcentral is "long non-coding RNA (TAES_LNC017836)". Lineage: Eukaryota; Viridiplantae; Streptophyta; Magnoliopsida; Poales; Poaceae. The record is from RNAcentral.
UUUACACUAUACACGUUUCACAACUAUAAUUUGAACACCUGUGUGCCAUAAAUAAAUAUAUUUUUACACUAUACACAAGUGAAUCAUGUUGUGUCAUUUACAUGACGGGUAAAUUAAAUGAACAUGUCUUGAUUAGGUACGACAUACUUUGGACAAGGAAGAGACCUGCAGAUAAAUAACACAAUUAAACAAACAAGUACUGAAAUAUAAGUGUUCCGCAUUAAGCUUGCUAGUAAGGAAAAUAUCAGGAGAUGGCUUGCUAGCUUUCACCUCUAGAUCACCCCCAUGGCAACUUGAUACAUCAGAGCAAGAAAACAUUCCCCAAUGGUUACAAACCUUUGGUGCAAAAUGACAUUCAUGGGAUCUGAAGACAUCACUAAGAAAUAUCAGGUUCUAUAUGAGUCUGACUUAUUAAAGAAUAGAGAGCAAUGAAGAAAAGUGCAGUACAUUAAAUCAAGGCCAAAUGAUACAUUGCAUGCAUCAGCGAGCAGAAAAAUAAAUGGUGUCUAAUAUUAUAUUUUCCCCUUCCAAUAGAGAGACUCCUUCUAUAUGUUUAACCAGUGAUUAAUUCCGGUUACACCAAAUAAACAUAGUUCUAAAUGCUACCAACAUUUUUUAUGAAACAAAGGACAACCAAAAUUAACUCCCCUCGCGUGGAAACUUGAUGUCCUUUCAACUCUGAAAUUCCACCAAAGGUAAGCAUACAAUAAUUUUAUAGUGUAUAAUUAUACAAAAGAAGAACAUGUUACGUGUGUAGAUAGCGCAAGGUGGCAUAUUAUCAUUGAGAGCAUAUAUUAGCACAUAGUGUGAUGAAAAUUGGAACCAGAUGUACUGUCAGCAUGUCUUUCUCCUUAUUCUGUAUAUCAUCAUUUCCUCUACACUUGACAUGAUAGCUUGAGAAAAAAAAGAUGAGUAUCCAGAUAUGUACAUAGUUAUGGCUAGAUUCCUUGUUUUGUCCAAGAAAGAUAAGUCAUGAGCCCAUCAUCUUAUUACAGCAAGGCACAUCUCUAUCAGUGGUGCAAGAGGUGUAAAUUUUAUACUUUCUUUUCAAGAAAAAACUCCUGGCAAUAUUAAACAUCAUGAUGUAACAAAUUACAAAUAUUAGUGUUAACAUAGGUUAAUAUCUAUUACUUAUGUGUGGUGCAGUUCAAUAAACCCUGAAUUUUUUUUGAAUUAUUCCUAACUAUCACCAUCAGAUCUAGGUCAAUAAAAGUUGUAGUCACAGCCUGAGCCAGAACUUUGGAUUGAGAAGGGAUUGGGAAACCCUCAAAGAAAGGAAGAAGCUCACCACAACACGGUUACAGGCCCCAACUAUCUCAACCUUGCGCACAAAACAGCUUAAUGACUCAUAUGGGAUCAACAAGAGUGCCAGUCGCGUAAAGCUUGUUCAGAUUGCCAAGGCCGUCCAC